CCAUGAAGGUUGUCAGUGUCAUCCUGUGUAAUAGCAACACAAAGAGAGACUACAAAAGUUACGUUUCUGGCUAACUGUUUAUGCUGACUGAGAUGUGACAACCUGGGAUGUGACUUUUGUGCUUAAAAGCUCACCGUGAGAAAGGCUCAGGACUGCAUUUGGGCCCUGAACAUCCGGGGUAGUUGCUGACGGGCUAAUAAAGACUUCCUAUUGGCUUGA
RNAcentral lists this small RNA (219 nucleotides) under Rattus norvegicus (Norway rat). RNAcentral describes it as "uncharacterized LOC102557016". Lineage: Eukaryota; Metazoa; Chordata; Mammalia; Rodentia; Muridae. The record is from RNAcentral.